Molecule: ribosomal RNA, 253 nt
Filed under: uncultured bacterium
Lineage: Bacteria
Description: partial 16S ribosomal RNA
Rfam family: Bacterial small subunit ribosomal RNA
Source: RNAcentral
UACGGGGGGGGCAAGCGUUGUUCGGAAUUACUGGGCGUAAAGGGCUCGUAGGCGGCCAACUAAGUCGGAUGUGAAAUCCCCAGGCUCAACUUGGGAACUGCAUCCGAUACUGGAUGGCUUGAAUUCGGGAGAGGGAUGCAGAAUUCCAGGUGUAGCGGUGAAAUGCGUAGAUAUCUGGAGGAAUACCGGUGGCGAAGGCGGCAUCCUGGACCGACACUGACGCUGAGGAGCGAAAGCCAGGGGAGCAAACGGG